Molecule: ribosomal RNA, 1604 nt
Filed under: metagenome
Description: bacterial LSU rRNA
Rfam family: Bacterial large subunit ribosomal RNA
Source: RNAcentral
AUAUUGUCCUAGGAUGACUGGAUCGUUAGGAAGAGACUCUGCCAGCAUAAGUAGCGAAAAACCAGGUGAGAACCCUGGUCGCCGUAAGUCUAAGGUUUCCUGAGAAAGGUUAAUCCGCUCAGGGUUAGUCGGAUCCUAAGGUGAGGCCGAAAGGCGUAGCUGAUGGACACACGGUUAACAUUCCGUGACUACUUUAGUUCGAUCAAGACCGAUGCGGGGACGCAUCGCGUAAGUUCCUCAGCGCAAUGGUUUCAAUGGGGAGCGAAGUGAGGUUGGGAAGGGGAAAUCCGCCCGGCCGUAUGCCAGGAAAAUCCGCUAAGGAGAACUAAAGUAUCCGUACCAUAAACCGACACAGGUGGACGAGAUGAGUAUUCUCAGGCGCUCGGGUGAUGGUUUGUUCAGGAACUAGGCAAAUUAACUCCGUAACUUCGGGAUAAGGAGUGCCUUCAGCAAUGGAGGCCGCAGCAAAGCGCAUCAGGCGACUGUUUAACAAAAACGCAGGUCUCUGCUAAGUCGAAAACGACGUAUAGGGGCUACGCCUGCCCGGUGCUGGAAGGUUAAAGGGAGAGGUCAACGCAAGUGAAGCUUUGAACUGAAGCCCCAGUGAACGGCGGCCGUAACAAUAACGGUCCUAAGGUAGCGAAAUUCCUUGUCGGGUAAGUUCCGACCUGCACGAAUGGCGUAACGAUCUGAUGACUGUCUUAACAAGCCGCCCGGCGAAUUUGUGGUUCCGGUGAAGACGCCGGAUGCCCGCCACUAGACGAAAAGACCCCGUGCACCUUUACUAUACCCUAUCAAUGAAUUAUGGGAUGUGCUGCGCAGAAUAGGUGGGAGGCUUUGAACCCGGGAUUUUGGUUUCGGGGGAGCCAACUGUGAGAUACCACCCUGUGCAUUCUGUGAUUCUAACUCGUUCCCGUGAUCCGGGAAGAGGACAUUGGUAGGCGGGUAGUUUGACUGGGGCGGUCGCCUCCUAAAUUGUAACGGAGGCGCUCGAAGCUUGGUUCAGGAGGUUUGGAAAUCCUCCAUUGAGUGCAAUGGCAUAAACCAGGUUAACUGCGAGACCAACGAGUCAAGCAGGUACGAAAGUAGGACAUAGUGAUCCGGUGGUUCUGUAUGGAAGGGCCAUCGCUCAACGGAUAAAAGGUACGCCGGGGAUAACAGGCUUAUCGGAGUCAAGAGUUCACAUCGACGCUCCGGUUUGGCACCUCGAUGUCGGUUCAUCGCAUCCUGGGGGUGUAGAAGCUCCCAAGGGUUAGGCUGUUCGCCUAUUAAAGCGGUACGUGAACUGGGUUCAGAACGUCGCGAGACAGUUCGGUCUCUAUCUGUGGUGGGCGGAGGAAAUUUGAGAGGGCUUGACCCUAGUACGAGAGGACCGGGUUGAACAGACCUCUUGUGAUCCAGUUGUCACACCAGUGGCAUAGCUGGGUAGCGAAGUCUGGUCGGGAUAAACGCUGAAAGCAUAUAAGCGUGAAACCUUCCUCAAGAUGAGAUUUCCCAAGCGAAAGCUAAGAAGGGCCGUGGUAGACGACCACGUUGAUAGGACGGAUGUGUAAGUGCAGUAAUGUAUUUAGCUUACCGUUACUAAUAGCCCGUUCGGCUUGACC